GGUAGGGCUGAUCUUCCCAGCCCGAACCCGUCAGCUAACUCGGUCGGCGG
RNAcentral lists this small RNA (50 nucleotides) under Rhodococcus sp. WAY2. RNAcentral describes it as "ydaO-yuaA". Lineage: Bacteria; Bacillati; Actinomycetota; Actinomycetes; Mycobacteriales; Nocardiaceae. The record is from RNAcentral.